GAUGAACGCUGGCGGCGUGCCUAAUACAUGCAAGUCGAGCGAACAGACGAGGAGCUUGCUCCUCUGACGUUAGCGGCGGACGGGUGAGUAACACGUGGAUAACCUACCUAUAAGACUGGGAUAACUUCGGGAAACCGGAGCUAAUACCGGAUAACAUGUUGAACCGCAUGGUUCAACAGUGAAAGACGGUGUUGCUGUCACUUAUAGAUGGAUCCGCGCCGCAUUAGCUAGUUGGUAAGGUAACGGCUUACCAAGGCAACGAUGCGUAGCCGACCUGAGAGGGUGAUCGGCCACACUGGAACGGAGACACGGUCCAGACUACUACGGGAGGCAGCAGUAGGGAAUCUGCCGCAAUGGGCGAAAGCCUGACGGAGCAACGCCGAGUGAGUGAAGAAGGUCUUCGGAUCGUAAAACUCUGUUAUUAGGGAAGAACAAAUGUGUAAGUAACUAUGCACGUCUUGACGGUAACUAAUCAGAAAGCCACGGCUAACUACGUG
RNAcentral lists this ribosomal RNA (497 nucleotides) under uncultured bacterium. RNAcentral describes it as "partial 16S ribosomal RNA". It matches the Rfam family "Bacterial small subunit ribosomal RNA", at positions 28 to 507 of the family's 1533-position model. The record is from RNAcentral.